This 282-nucleotide long non-coding RNA is filed under the name Homo sapiens (human). Its description in RNAcentral is "HSALNT0348381". The record is from RNAcentral. Lineage: Eukaryota; Metazoa; Chordata; Mammalia; Primates; Hominidae.
AGUAAUGCUGCCUAAGGAUGCUUUUUGUUUUCCUUUAAACCAAUCUUUUAAAAAAGCAGAGCUUUCAAUACAAAUUUCAGAUGAGUGCUUAUUACCUUCUUUAGAGAUGUGUGAUUCACCUUUCACAAAAAGGAAUUCCUAUACAAAAUGUUAACAAGUACUUAAUUAGCAUGUUUAAAAUUCCUCCUUAUAGAUCUUAAAGUUUAAAUGACUCCCAAGCUGUGAUUUUCUAUUCCUUGAAAAAGUCCUCCUGUUUGCCUAGGUUGAGGAAAAUCCUUAAUU